This 256-nucleotide ribosomal RNA is filed under the name uncultured bacterium. RNAcentral describes it as "partial 16S ribosomal RNA". It matches the Rfam family "Bacterial small subunit ribosomal RNA", at positions 521 to 776 of the family's 1533-position model. The record is from RNAcentral.
UAAUACGGAGGGAGCUAGCGUUGUUCGGAAUUACUGGGCGUAAAGCGCGCGUAGGCGGCUAUUUAAGUCAGAGGUGAAAUCCCGGGGCUCAACCCCGGAACUGCCUUUGAAACUAGAUGGCUAGAAUCCUGGAGAGGCGAGUGGAAUUCCGAGUGUAGAGGUGAAAUUCGUAGAUAUUCGGAAGAACACCAGUGGCGAAGGCGACUCGCUGGACAGGUAUUGACGCUGAGGUGCGAAAGCGUGGGGAGCAAACAGG